GGGCAGUUACCGCUCUAUACCGGCAGCAGCCGCGGAGAGCAUGCCCCGCCCCCGUGGAGCCCACCCCGGGCGGUUAACCUCGGGUCUCAGUCCCGGGCUGUGACCCUCCCCGAGGCCCCGCCCCCACGGCGAAGGCCCGGGGCAGUUAACCCUUCUCUUGCUGCGGCAGAGUCCGCACCCGGGCAGGCCCAUCUCAGAAUUAACGCUUUGAUGGCAUCACCGCGUCGGGAAUCCCUGGGGAUGGUGUUCUCCACCGUCAAGACCUUUGAGCCGCCUGAGCGACUAACUCCUGCGCCCCUGAGGGGACAUUUUAUUCAGAAAUUAAAUCAUUCAGAGUUCCAGCACUGUCGGGGGUCAUCGGGCUCUGUCCACCGCCAUAGGCCUAGCAUUGUCACCAACGGAGCCAUAGAGGGACCUCGGCCCAAGCUGGGGCCUCUUCAUUGUCGAAGAAGGCCUCUUGCCAGACCAGGAUCUGUGGGCGCGGCCAGGCUGGAGGACUAGGGCGGUGGCAGUGGCCAGGAAGCCCUUGGCCCCCAAGAAGGGAGACAGUUCUGCUGAAGAACUCGAACUGGAUACUCAGCUGACAG
This is a long non-coding RNA of Homo sapiens (human), 587 nucleotides long. Lineage: Eukaryota; Metazoa; Chordata; Mammalia; Primates; Hominidae. The record is from Ensembl.